CAGAGGGUCACUGUGAGCAACGGAAACGGGGCUGAUUGCUAGGCUGGAGAACGUGGCAGCAGCAAACACGGAAAUCCAGUGCGGCUGCCAGGCAGAAAGACUAAAAAAGCAACCACUUUCCUGAGCCUGUGCUUUCUCUGGUUGGGGCAGAGCUGUUUUCACGCCAAAGUUCCUGUGUUACAUACUACGGAACAAGGUGACAGGCACAAAGACACCCAUGUGUCAGAAGAAGGUGGGAAAGGCACACGCGCAGCAUGACCUGCACCAGCCACCGUCCUGUCUGCGGUUUUAGACACCUAAACAGAAAGAGGGGAAGCAGAACCAACACUCACCUAACAGCAGUUGGUCUGCCAUUAAUCAAUCCAGCCAGGAGCCUUUGUUAAAGAUGUCCUGGACAGAGGAGGAAAGACUAUCAUUCGUUACCUUUCCCGGGUCACCCAAGUCCUUCAGAAUGAAUAAGAUUAGGUGAAUCCAGAAGUACUGUUGUGAUGAACACAUCCUUCACUGCACUGAAUUUAAAAGUGGCAUUCUCAGCAUCACCAGGCAAGGCAAGUUUCCCAAUCCCCGUGGAGAGUGGUGCCAUGUGGAAAACCACCUAUGCCAUCACUCGUUUUGCUGUGCCUCAAAGCAUGAAGACCUAUCUGCCAAGUUGCACCUCCAGGCAGCUGGCACAGGCCUGGACAAAAGGAGACCGCACUGUCAAGCAGCCCAUCUGUUUUCUACCCUAGAAGAUUCUGUGUCUCAAACAACACCGUGGCCCAACAUGUGGGUCGUUGGAGCUAGGUGUGCCUCUCAGCUUUGUACUUGCUGCUGGGGACCUGGAGAGUCACUUCAAUUCUACGAGCCUGUUUCCUGAUCUCCAAAGAGGAUGAUGAAUUCCAUCUCACAAGGCUCUUAUGAAGAUUAGACAUAAUCUACCUAGAAUAUCUAGUAAAUAAUACUUUAUUCUUAUAGUGCUAGAGAUCGAACCCAAGGCCUUGUGCAUGCUAGACAAGUGCUCAUUGCUGGGCUAUCCCCUAGCCCUCAAUAAGGCUUUUUCAGAUUUGCAUGUGGAAAAACUGCAAGGAUUUACAGUUA
Non-coding RNA from Heterocephalus glaber (naked mole-rat), 1077 nucleotides. NCBI's taxonomy places the organism in Eukaryota, Metazoa, Chordata, Mammalia, Rodentia, Bathyergidae. The record is from RefSeq and is a predicted model, not a curated record.